This 114-nucleotide ribosomal RNA is filed under the name Jaculus jaculus (lesser Egyptian jerboa). Lineage: Eukaryota; Metazoa; Chordata; Mammalia; Rodentia; Dipodidae. The record is from RNAcentral.
GACUAUGUCCUUACCAUCCUGAACAUACCCAAUCUCAUCUGUUCUCAGAAGCUAAGCAGGCAGGGUCAGACCUGGUUAGUCGGAUGGAAGAUCUCCAAGGUGGUUACAUUGUCC